Harpia harpyja (harpy eagle) is the source of this 696-nucleotide long non-coding RNA. RefSeq lists it as uncharacterized. NCBI's taxonomy places the organism in Eukaryota, Metazoa, Chordata, Aves, Accipitriformes, Accipitridae. The transcript has 3 exons. The record is from RefSeq and is a predicted model, not a curated record.
UACAGGCAGGGAGCGAGAAAGAGAAAGAAAAAAUAGUGGAGAGGGGGAGGAAUUAAAAAAUGGGGGCAGGGAGCCAGACAGAGUGCGACGGGGAGAGACCAAAAUUAGCAAUUCUGGGCAACUGCCCCCAUUUCUUGAGCACUCCCCAGGAAAUGCAUUACCGGGAGCCUCAAGGAAUGUGCUGCCUGCCAAAGCCCUGCCCUGGCCCCAGUCCUGUGCCCUAGUAUUGGUGACGAGCAUUGCCUUGCAUAGUGGCCAGGACUGAGGGAAGAAAAGGACAGCUGGGGGGAAAAAAAUCACCGAGCUGGGUUUUGGUUUUGUUUUGGUUUUUUUUUUCUUGAUGGUUUUGCUUUUAAAAAGAAUAGUAUUUAAGCUCUAAAUACAAACUGCAAGGAAAAAGGAACCAGGCGUACCAGUCUGGACACAUUUAAAGCCUGAACCCAUUCAACAGCUGCACCACCCACCACUCCUGCUGCCCACACUCCACCGCCUGCCUGCAGGCUGGGUUAAAGACUCAUCCAUCAAGUGCUGGCUCAGGACCAUGCCGGGGCAAAUGGCACUGCUUUUCUGGAUCCCAUGGCAGCGAUGGGCAAAGGAACAGGGAGACCCAGUGGAGUCGUAGCGUGCGCUGGAGAGUGUUCUUCAGGAAGGUGACAGCCGAUUGCAGAGCAACGCUGAGACGCACCUGACAGCAAA